Molecule: unclassified non-coding RNA, 566 nt
Filed under: Hevea brasiliensis (rubber tree)
Lineage: Eukaryota; Viridiplantae; Streptophyta; Magnoliopsida; Malpighiales; Euphorbiaceae
Source: RNAcentral
GAUAUUUUGAGUUAGGGUUAUGAUUUUUGUUUUCCCUAUCACUGUACUGUAAUUUUAGGCAUUUUUCCUUAGAACGCGAUUUUUAGAUCUUUUCUUUUUGUUUCUCAAUUUUGUUGUUAUUGGUUGACUGUUGGUAUGUUUUGGUUACUGCAUGAAUUCAUUAUCUUGGUUGGUUGUGCCCUAUAGUUGCUGCGGAAGUGAAUGCUUCGGUGGAAGAAUUUGUUGCCAUUUGUACAUAAUUUGCACCUAAACUUAGGGUUUUGAAUUUUAUUUUGGCUAUUCAUUGUUUUUGUCCGCCCUCUACUUCAAUUUCAUUUCUUUGUUUUGUUGUUUAGAUGGUGUGAAGCAAACUCAAACUAAGUUGAGUUUGGUUUAAGCUCCUUUGGUUUGUGGUAUUUUAGGUAUCAAAAAGUGAUGCUGUGAUAAUUUGUUGAUUAGGGACUUUGCUUUGUUGUUUCUUACCCGUGUUGGUUUUAGUUAGAUUGUGGACAUUAAUGUUUCUGUUUCCAUUUUGGAUGAGUCCAGGUCUUGUCGUUCUGAUGACGGUGCUGGUUUAAGAAUUGAAA